This 3579-nucleotide long non-coding RNA is filed under the name Salmo salar (Atlantic salmon). Its description in RNAcentral is "lncRNA (ENSSSAG00000120515.1)". The record is from RNAcentral. Lineage: Eukaryota; Metazoa; Chordata; Actinopteri; Salmoniformes; Salmonidae.
CUCUUAUCAUGUGUGAAAUUAGUUUUGGUAUAGUUUAGGAGUAGUGUCGAUGGACCAGCUGAUCAGGAUAACUCUUAUCAUGUGUGAAAUUAGUUUUGGUAUAGUUUAGGAGUAGUGUCGAUGGGCCAGCUGAUCAGAAUAACUCUUAUCAUGUGUGAAAUUAGUUUUGGUAUAGUUUAGGAGUAGUGUCGAUGGACCAGCUGAUCAGGAUAACUCUUAUCAUGUGUGAAAUUAGUUUUGGUAUAGUUUAGGAGUAGUGUCGAUGGGCCGGCUGAUCAGGAUAACUCUUAUCAUGUGUGAAAUUAGUUUUGGUAUAGUUUAGGAGUAGUGUCGAUGGGCCGGCUGAUCAGGAUAACUCUUAUCAUGUGUGAAAUUAGUUUUGGUACAGUUUAGGAGUAGUGUCGAUGGGCCAGCUGAUCAGGAUAACUCUUAUCAUGUGUGAAAUUAGUUUUGGUAUAGUUUAGGAGUAGUGUCGAUGGGCCAGCUGAUCAGGAUAACUCUUAUCAUGUGUGAAAUUAGUUUUGGUACAGUUUAGGAGUAGUGUCGAUGGGCCAGCUGAUCAGGAUAACUCUUAUCAUGUGUGAAAUUAGUUGUGGUAUAGUUUAGGAGUAGUGUCGAUGGGCAAGCUGAUCAGGAUAACUCUUAUCAUGUGUGAAAUUAGUUUUGGUACAGUUUAGGAGUAGUGUCGAUGGGCCAGCUGAUCAGGAUAACUCUUAUCAUGUGUGAAAUUAGUUUUGGUACAGUUUAGGAGUAGUGUCGAUGGGCCAGCUGAUCAGGAUAACUCUUAUCAUGUGUGAAAUUAGUUUUGGUACAGUUUAGGAGUAGUGUCGAUGGGCCAGCUGAUCAGGAUAACUCUUAUCAUGUGUGAAAUUAGUUUUGGUAUAGUUUAGGAGUAGUGUCGAUGGGCCGGCUGUGAAGGUUGACUGCUAUUAUUUGUUUCCCGCUCAUCAACUUGGACAGAGUCCAGGACAUGUUUUACAUCACUCUAAAGGCCUACUGUAACUCAUAGCAUGUGUUCAUUUCCUUACAAUACAUGUGAUUAGUGUUCGAGUUACAGUCAAUAAAACAGACCCACAACAGUUGAUUUGUGGAAAGUAAAACAUAAAAGAGAAUAUUAUUAACCCACAAGGGGGUGUGGUCAAAUGAUUUGCUGCUGAUAAAUAGGCAUAACACAAACUCAUCAUUACACUUUUGUCUUUCUACAUUACAUCAACCCCUUCAUCCUUCUUAUCAUUCAGUUAGGCCUCAUUUGGGGACGACAGGUAACCUAGUGGUUAGAGUGGAGGGGCGGCAGGUAGCCUAGUGGUUAGAGUGUAGAGGCGGCAGGUAGCCUAGUGGUUAGAGUGUAGAGGCGGCAGGUAGCCUAGUGGUUAGAGUGUAGAGGCGGCAGGCAGCCUAGUGGUUAAAGUGUUGAGCCAGUACUUGAAAGGUUGCUGGAUCGAAUCCCUGAGCUGAGAAGGUAAAAAUCUGUCGUUCUGCCCCUGAACAAGGCAGUUAACCCACUGUUCCUAGGCCGUCUUUGAAAAUAAGAAUUUGUUCAAAAACUGAUUUGCCUAGUUAAAUAAAGGUAAAAACGUAUAUUAUCAUAUAAGGUGCACAAUUACGGCCCAUUUAUUCAGUGAGGAAAGGGAGACUCAUUAGUGGCUGGCUGGGUACCAAGGUCCAACAGCACAUUGUCUUGGUGGGCAGGUAGUAGGUGGGAAAUAAACUGGUCAAAAGGAUCUUUUCUCUUCUUGAUUUCAAAAUUCACACAAAUGAGCAGUGUAAAAUACAAACAUUUAGGAGGAGCAGGACUGAUUCUAGUGUUAAAAGUCAGGGAGCAGGUCUGAUUCUAGUGUUAAAAGUCAGGGAGCAGGACUGAUUCUAGUGUUAAAAGUCAGGGAGCAGGACUGAUUCUAGUGUUAAAAGUCAGGGAGCAGGACUGAUUCUAGUGUUAAAAGUCAGGGAGCAGGACUGAUUCUAGUGUUAAAAGUCAGGGAGCAGGACUGAUUCUAGUGUUAAAAGGCAAGUCCUGCACUUUUCAACCUCAUAUUCAUCCUCUCCAGCACCAAAACAGUAUCUAUAUUUCUGAAAACAGCACCUUUCACAUUUUUAUGAUCUGUAGUUAAAAAAAAAUGAGAAGAAAACUCUUUAAAAACGGUGAUUUUCAAAACCUGCAAUGAGUUUCUAGCCCAGUAGAGGACAUUUUAUUGCUCCCCACACCACUGACAAUCUAAUUGUGUUUGAAAAAUCACUGCUUUUAAAAUCAUUCAACUUUUGAUGAUGUCAUCAGGUAGAACUUUUUAACUUCAUAUUUUUUCUACAAAACUUAGAAAUGCACCAUUUUCACAUCUGAUUUUAUUUUAUUUUUACGGCUGCAUUUGUACCUUUUUUAAAAGUAUUUUGUUUAAAUAUAAUUUGCCUCCACAACAACAUGAAUACCUGCAUACUUUCACAUACAAACCAGAGGAGGCUGGUGGAGGAGCAAUAUGAGGACAGGCUCAGUGUAAAGACUGGAAUGGAAUACAUGGAAUUAAUUUAUUUAUUCCAUUUCAGCCAUAAAAAUGAACCCGUCCUCCUAUAACACAUCCCACCAGCCUCCUCUGAAUGUCUCUGUUCUGUUAAAAGAGAAGUGGAGAAUACCACAUAUUGUUUCUGUUGUAUCUAAAUGUAUCUACAUUAAACCACAUGUUUUGUUCUUAAGACUGAUGGGGAAGAGUGGAGUGUAAAGGAUUUUGCAACACUACUGUAGUUAGCGCAACCUUGUGACUCUGUUAUGGCUAGGGGGCAGUAUUUUCACGGCUGGAUAAAAAACGUACCCGAUUUAAUCUGGUUACUACUCCUGCCCAGUAACUAGAAUAUGCAUAUAAUUAUUGGCUUUGGAUAGAAAACACCCUAAAGUUUCUAAAACUGUUUGAAUGGUGUUUGUGAGUAUAACAGAACUCAUAUGGCAGGCAAAAACCUGAGAAGAUUUCAUGCAGGAAGUGGCCUGUCUGACAAGGUGUCGUUCUUCUUGUCUCUGUUUAUUGAAGAGUGAGGAUCUUAGUGUCCCGUGACACUUCCUACGGCUGCCAUAGGCUCUCAGAAGGCGGCAAAACGCUGAAUCGUGGCUUUGCAGGCUCUGGCUGAAACAAAGUAGCGCGUUUGGGUAGUGGCUGGUUACAGUACUGUGAGACUCAGGCUCGUGCCCGCGUCGACCGAAAGCUUUGUUUUCUUUCCUCUGUUUAGCUAAAUGGACAUUCCCGGUCUGAAUAUUAUCGCUUUUUUACGAGAAAAAAUGGCAUAAAAAUGGAUUUUAAACAGCGGUUGACAUGCUUCGAAAUACGGUAAUGGAAUAUUUAGAUUUUUUUUGUCACGAAUUGCGCCAUGCGCGCGACCCUGAUUUACCAUUUCAGAUAGUGUCUGGGACGCACGAACAAAACGCCGCUAUUCGGAUAUAACGAUGGAUUAUUUUGGACCAAACCAACAUUUGUUAUUGAAGUAGCAGUCCUGGGAGUGCAUUCUGACGAAGACAACAAAAGGUAAUCAAACUUUUAUAAUAGUAAAUCUGAUAUUGGUGAGUGCUAAACUUGCCGGGUGUCUAAAUAGCUAGCCCGUGAU